UCCCUGGUUGUCUAGUGGUAAGGAUUCUGCGCUCUCACCGCUGCGGCCUGGCUCGAUUCCCGGUCAGGGAA
This is a non-coding RNA of Ameiurus melas (black bullhead), 71 nucleotides long. Lineage: Eukaryota; Metazoa; Chordata; Actinopteri; Siluriformes; Ictaluridae. The record is from the annotation of a GenBank genome assembly.